GGAGGGGUAUUUCUAAUUGGUAAGAUAGCGGUCUCGAAAACCGCCGGGUGAAAGCCCUCGAGGGUUCGAAUCCCUCUCCCUCCGCCA
RNAcentral lists this transfer RNA (87 nucleotides) under Candidatus Cloacimonadota bacterium. RNAcentral's name for it is "tRNA-Ser". It matches the Rfam family "tRNA". From Rfam's summary of the family: Transfer RNA (tRNA) molecules are approximately 80 nucleotides in length. Lineage: Bacteria; Pseudomonadati; Candidatus Cloacimonadota. The record is from RNAcentral.